RNAcentral lists this ribosomal RNA (256 nucleotides) under uncultured bacterium. RNAcentral describes it as "partial 16S ribosomal RNA". It matches the Rfam family "Bacterial small subunit ribosomal RNA", at positions 524 to 776 of the family's 1533-position model. The record is from RNAcentral.
GACGAACCGUGCGAACGUUGUUCGGAUUCACUGGGCUUAAAGGGCGCGUAGGCGGGGCGGUCAAGUCGGGGGUGAAAUCUUUCAGCUUAACUUGGAAAAGUGCCUCCGAUACUGAUCGCCUCGAGGGAGGUAGGGGCAUGUGGAACUUCCGGUGGAGCGGUGAAAUGCGUAGAUAUCGGAAGGAACGCCGGUGGCGAAAGCGACGUGCGUGGACCUCUUCUGACGCUGAGGCGCGAAAGCUAGGGGAGCAAACGGG